GGAGAGAACUUUCCACAGCCACCUUCCAUUUCAGCCCUCGGGGACUCUUUUGAUAAACCUUGGAAUGGUAUGGUUCAUUUUUCCGCAAUAGCAGCAGCUAGCAACGAAUUUUUCCCCCGAGGAUUCUAAUCUCUUCUUUUUGGAUCAUUUGGAUCAAAGAAUAAGCUCCUGGAGAGUCUUUUUUUCCGAAGAAGUUUUGCUCUUGCGCUGGGCUUUGAUGACACAGAAACAUUUCUCGAUGCUGAGAGGAAAAAAAAUAUCCCUGCUGAGAAAUCGUGCGUAGUGUCUGAUGCCCAGGACCCAGGACUUAAGGGUUUUAGGGCACAUGGAUGGCCCAUGGAUGUAGCCAUGCAUGUAGCCACGAUGGGGCCAUAUCCACUUGCGCAAGUUGCCUGAUAUUGACGUGACAGUGAUGUGGGAUCCGCAUGCAUGCCAAUGGAUGCGUAGGUAUGCGCAUAUAUGACAGGCCACAAGUGGGCACAUGGGGCCGCUAGAGGAUGGCUCGCCGAGCUUGCCUGUGACGAGCAAGUGAGGCACCAGGAAUUGGAAUUCGCGAUUUUAUUCUAUCCGUGGGGCUGCAGACAAGCAUUUUUAUACCCAUUACUAUUUACAAUAUCAUGCUUUUUUCCCGCCU
Molecule: long non-coding RNA, 634 nt
Organism: Selaginella moellendorffii
Lineage: Eukaryota; Viridiplantae; Streptophyta; Lycopodiopsida; Selaginellales; Selaginellaceae
Exons: 2
Source: RefSeq, a predicted model, not a curated record